UCCAUCCUCACUAGAAAUCUCUGAAAUAAAAAGUUAGGGUUUCUGAGUGGGUUUUAGUAAGACAUGAUGAUGAGUUCGAAAGUGGCACCAGGAUGUAUUUGUGAAACGAUCGACUGAAAAGUGUACUUGCAACAGAAAUGAAACUAUAGCUGAAUAAUCGGAGAGUUGCCAAUGAGAAAAGGAAGUGUCCUGUAGUGCUGAUUGUAUAUAGUGGUUCCUUGAAAAUGCAGGCACUCACAUUUCCAGACUCAUUUUGAGCUGACAUCCUGACCUCCAUGGCAAAGAUGGAUCGAUUAUAAUCUCAGAGAAUGACUGGAAUUUCUUUUGCGGAGAUGAUUGGCAAGGUGCCAACACGAAAUGUGUAUCUGCGAAAAUUGAGCUCCCUAGUGACAUGGAGAGAUUAGGUGGAUCUUCUGAAGAGAUGCUAAUUUCAGAAUCGUUCCUGAAUCCUUCAAAUGAGGAGGUUGAGUCAAAGCAACCUACUAUGACGACUUUUAUUCAAUGGAAUGCCUAAAAGAAAAAGAGAAACAGAGAGUUAAUGCAGAAAUUAAAUUAUUGCAAUAAAGACAUUUCUGAAGAUCUGCUACGUGGAAAGGAAGCUCCAAAAUCUGCUCUUGAAGCUUCUUGUGCAGUUUCUGUGCCAGAUAGGCACUCACGGAGGACUUCACAUGGCAACUCAGUAAACUUGAAAGUGUCUGGUUCCAUGUGGAUCUAUCAGUUGAAAUGAUGGUCACGGAGUCAUUUGGGGUGGUCCAGUCAAUGCAAUGAGAACCCAAUGAAAGAAUAUUGUUGAGUCCUUUGGGUUCACCCAUCUCCGAGCAGAAGUCAAAUCUGGUUCCGAAAAUGGAACCAUGAUCUCGAACAUGAUAAAGGAAGGAAAGAUUGUAACUUCCUAGGUUACAGUUACACUUCUUUAACGGGCAAAGAAAGUGAGAACGACAAAGUCAAUAUUUACAGAUUCCUUCGCAAUUGAAAGUAUCAUGCUGCUUUUGAGAAUGUGGUAAGGCUGCUAAUUUAUCUUCCACUUUUUUUCCUUGGGUUGCAGUGGUUAGAUAGACAAAUGAAAUGAAUUCCUGACAGAUACAACAGAUAAAGUGAAAACUUAUUAUGACUAUUCCAGCUUUAUGUAGUUUCUCACUGGAACCCACUCCAAUGUGACACAUUUCUGAAUGUUCUUUAUAUAAUUCCUCCAAGUAAAACUUGCCUCUUUGAUACCUCCUGCAUUGUUUGUUCUUAUCUAUGGAAAGUUCAUUUAUAGACUGGCACUGUACCUGAGGUUGUACUAUUUUUUGAUUGUUCGGAGUAGGAGAUGGAAAUCAGUGAGGCUGAAUUGAUCCAUUCCAUAAAUAUAUAUGAUGAAACAAAUUAGUGGAUUUCUGGUUUGUUCAAGUUUUCCAGUGUUUCCCGUGGUACUAAAGCUGUAUAUUUGUCUUUGGUUGUUUCGAUGUCUUUAAAGUAUAAUUUUUGUAAAGAUAACUUGAUUCGCUUUAGGAUUAAGUGAAUCUGUAGUUUGGUGAAAUUGUGGUUAGUUUUCUAUAUGAAUCGAACUAUUGAAGUAAUUUUCCAGCUUAUACAGAAUGGCAGUUAAGAACGUGAUGUAUUGAAGUUUUCAGUUUGAUGUGAACCCUUCCUGUGCUGUUAAGUUUAAAUGUCCAUUCUAUCAUACAAAUUUCCGUGUUACUUCUAUAUUUGGCGAAGUAAAUGUUGUGGCUUGAAAACAAUUCAGUCUCAAGUGGACGAUGAUGUCUGUGUAUUAAGCACGAUUCCUCUCAAUAGUAUUAUUUAGU
Papaver somniferum (opium poppy) is the source of this 1787-nucleotide long non-coding RNA. RefSeq lists it as uncharacterized. The transcript is spliced from 6 exons. Lineage: Eukaryota; Viridiplantae; Streptophyta; Magnoliopsida; Ranunculales; Papaveraceae. The record is from RefSeq and is a predicted model, not a curated record.